UUUUAGUGGCAUUUAAAAUCAAACAGUUGGGGAAAAAAAUGGCUCACUUAAGAUCAUGAGAAAGAGUUUUUAGAAAGAGCUGCUGGCCCUGCUCUGAGGUGGGAGAACCGGAUUUACCAGCUGAAGGAGCAUUUUAACCAGCCUAGAGAACCUUCCUUGUUGCCCGGAUGCAAUGAACGCAUGGAAAAAUAAACGAGCAGAAACUAAGUACUGCUCACGUCGACAUUUUGUUGGAAUUGUAAAAUAAAGACUUCGAACCACUUUACCUCUUACCUAAAAAUUAGGUUUGUUAAUUUUAAAAUUGCUCCAACAGAUCCCUGUAAAGUACCAAGGGGGAGACAGGCAUUUUUUUUUUUUUUCUCCAACACAAUUUUCCAAAGGCGAGGGGAAAUUCUUGCGGACCUGUUCAGGAAACACCACUUAUCUUAGCAGCGUCUGCAGGCCUAGAGGGCCAGGAGGUGCAGGAGAGAGUGCCGGAUGCCUGAAAGAAAUCUGAAGGAGGAGGGGGCGUGAGGGCAAAGAGGAAGAGAAAACCAUGAUGAAAAGAAGGCAGAGUCACGACAGGAAACAAGUCACCUCCGUGGAUUUUAACAUUCUGCACAGUGACGCCAACGGAGGCAUUCGGCUGAAGUCUUGCCACUUCCUUGGGACUAGUCCUUCCAGACCAAAGAAAAGGGGGGAGGAACAGAACUGAAAUCACAGCGGAGUUUAGAAGUGAGACAGAAGUGGAUCGUUAAUGAUGAAAAAACAUCUGGUAACUGCUGCUUUAGAAUACAGAGCAAAUUCUUGUCAAAUCAAGCAGAGUCGACCAUGUCAUGUAUCCCGGACAACGAUGCGAAACCCCAGCCCUCAAGGGGCCCAGUGCUUUCCCCUCACAGCAGCAGAAGAUGCCGACGUACUAGCCAACAGCGCCUCCCGCGCACCUGCUUCCACCUCCGUCUGAAGCCCCGUUUCCUCUUCCCCCCAACCUCAUUUCCAACACUGGCCCACGCAGGUAAAGAGUUCCUUGUCCCCAAGCCUCUUGCCAGAAUGCGCUCUCCAGGGCUCUCAACCCCAUGCGUUCAAGACCCAUUCGCACCUGUCUUUCUUUGCAGCCUUUUGGCUUCCCUUAGCUGUGAGAGCCCACAGCUUUUCGUGAGGUCUUCCCUGGGGCUUGAACGCUCGCUACCAUUCUGAGUGCACACGGCCCUUAUCUUUCCUGUACCUGCCUCUCCCCCUCGACUGUAAGCCCUUGGGGUUGGGGGGAAGGAGGAUAUCCCCUUGGACUCCCUCACCUCUACUAAUAACUAAUAAACAUUUCAGUAAAAGAAGCCAAA
Mustela lutreola (European mink) is the source of this 1316-nucleotide long non-coding RNA. RefSeq lists it as uncharacterized. The transcript is spliced from 2 exons. NCBI's taxonomy places the organism in Eukaryota, Metazoa, Chordata, Mammalia, Carnivora, Mustelidae. The record is from RefSeq and is a predicted model, not a curated record.